This is a non-coding RNA of Aegilops tauschii subsp. strangulata, 1457 nucleotides long. NCBI's taxonomy places the organism in Eukaryota, Viridiplantae, Streptophyta, Magnoliopsida, Poales, Poaceae. The record is from RefSeq and is a predicted model, not a curated record.
UCCCCCGCGAACCCUAGCGCUCCCCGAUCCCUCCCACCUCCCCUCCCCUCGCCGCCACCCACUCCUCCCCUCGCUCUCCUCCCUCCCCUCCAGCAAGAUCCAGUGCGCUCCAAGAUCCCCAUGCUCUGCCCCUCCCUCCCUCCCCUUCGGUGCGUGGCCUCCCCCUCUCCUCGAUCCAGAUCGACAGGUCCACCACCUACACUUUCGGCGACCCCAAUCCGGCGACAGAGACGGCUGCUCCCGCGCCGACCUUCUUCCUCGCCCCAGAUGCCGCUGCUCAUCUCCUCUCCGGUCAGUGCGGAGGAGCCACCGCUGUCGAGGUGGCCCAUCUCUUCCUCCCAUGGCCAUGGCCAUGACGAGCCUGCAAGAUGUGCUGCAGCAGAUCUUCGAGUACAAUGGCUCCCCCGUGGUGGAGAUGGUGGGGAAGAACUGCUUCGCCAUCGCCAGUGACUACCACCUCGGUGUGCAGCUGCAGACCAUCGCCACCGACUUCCAACGGGCCUUCAAGAUCCACGGCAAGCUCUACAUCAGCCUCUCCGGCCUCACCACCGACGCCCAGACAUUGCAACAUGGUGACUCUAGUGCAGGUAGCGCUUGCCAUCCUCUUUGAGGCCGUGUGUUUAGCGCAUGCUCUUUUUCUGUCUGUACGGAAUCUUGAUAUGGUGUUUUCGCAGCUGAGAUAUUAGAUUGCACUUUGGUAUGUGAUUUACUCAUGUUGGUACUGCUUGUUAAGUGAUUAUCUUUAUGCCCUUGCUACCUGUAGGAUGGUCAAUACAUGAUUUCCCUGUAACUUGUCUUUUCUGAAACAGUUUGCUUGGUCCUUCAUAUCUGACUAUGUAAUGUAGAAGCUCUACUUUAUCCUAAUAGCUGCUUGUAGCAUUGUGAUACUAUUUGUGUGAUGCUAAAUCUGUUGCUAUAUUCUCAAGUGUUGUUUACCAUUUACAUUCUUUUUACAUUUGCUAUAUUCACAAAUAGUAGUAGUGUCUGGUCUAGAUAAGCAAACAAGUAGUAGUGUCUGGUCUAGAUAAGUAAACAAGGGAUGAUCUAUGCAGUUGUUGAUAUGAAUUGUUUGUUUCUGGGAGGUGUAGGGCGAGCUGCAGCGGGACAACCUGGAGUGGAAGAACUUCGAGGACAAGAUCAUUGAGAACCUGGAGAAGAUCAGCGACUACCUCAUCCUCGUCUGCAUGGUUGGCUCCUUUGGCAGACCCCUCUUUGGCUUCGACCAACUUACUUUUGUCGCUGGCUAGCAGCAUUUCCAGGUGUUGUGUGUUCUGGAAGAUGGAAGAGGAAGAAAACUUAUUUUUGUUGAACUAAAUUUUCUGUAUUAUGUUUUGUUGUACGUAUCAUUUGAUAGUUUUGUAUAGGAACAAGUGAUACUAUCUUGUAGGGCUUUAUGGCUUGUAAUGUAAACAUAUUUAGUGCUGAAAUAUGAAAUUAUUUGCAAAAUUUGUCGGAAA